This 429-nucleotide ribosomal RNA is filed under the name Chloroflexota bacterium. RNAcentral's name for it is "Chloroflexi bacterium partial 16S ribosomal RNA". It matches the Rfam family "Bacterial small subunit ribosomal RNA", at positions 355 to 776 of the family's 1533-position model. Lineage: Bacteria; Bacillati; Chloroflexota. The record is from RNAcentral.
UGGGGAAUAUUGCACAAUGGGCGCAAGCCUGAUGCAGCCAUGCCGCGUGUGUGAAGAAGGCCUUCGGGUUGUAAAGCACUUUCAGCGGGGAGGAAGGCGUUAAGGUUAAUAACCUUGGCGAUUGACGUUACCCGCAGAAGAAGCACCGGCUAACUCCGUGCCAGCAGCCGCGGUAAUACGUAGGUGGCAAGCGUUGUCCGGAUUUAUUGGGCGUAAAGCGAGCGCAGGCGGUUUCUUAAGUCUGAUGUGAAAGCCCCCGGCUCAACCGGGGAGGGUCAUUGGAAACUGGGAGACGUGAGUGCAGAAGAGGAGAGUGGAAUUCCAUGUGUAGCGGUGAAAUGCGUAGAUAUAUGGGGGAACACCAGUGGCGAAGGCGGCUCUCUGGUCUGUAACUGACGCUGAGGCUCGAAGGCGUGGGGAGCAAACAGG